This 190-nucleotide ribosomal RNA is filed under the name uncultured Pseudomonas sp. RNAcentral describes it as "partial 16S ribosomal DNA". The stretch from base 55 to 190 matches the Rfam family "Bacterial small subunit ribosomal RNA", at positions 401 to 529 of the family's 1533-position model. The record is from RNAcentral. Lineage: Bacteria; Pseudomonadati; Pseudomonadota; Gammaproteobacteria; Pseudomonadales; Pseudomonadaceae.
GAGACAUAGCUAUGCUGCCUCCAUUGGGCCUAGAGCCUCCUCCACCCCUUCCGCGUGUGUGAAGAAGGUCUUCGGAUUGUAAAGCACUUUAAGUUGGGAGGAAGGGCAGUAAGUUAAUACCUUGCUGUUUUGACGUUACCGACAGAAUAAGCACCGGCUAACUUCGUGCCAGCAGCCACGGUAAUAAAAA